CAUUAAGAAGCUAUGGACAAGCACUAGCCUUUUAAGCUAGAGAAAGAGGACUCCCUCCCUCCUUAAUGA
Molecule: transfer RNA, 69 nt
Filed under: Tetrao urogalloides
Lineage: Eukaryota; Metazoa; Chordata; Aves; Galliformes; Phasianidae
Also listed under: 2 other names
Description: tRNA-Lys
Rfam family: tRNA
About the family: Transfer RNA (tRNA) molecules are approximately 80 nucleotides in length.
Source: RNAcentral